GACAGAGGUGCCGAGCGUUAGGCGGAAUCACUGGGCUUAAAGCGUGUGUAGGCGGGUCCGUAAGUACCUUGUGAAAUCCCAUGGCUCAACCAUGGAACUGCUUGGUAUACUGCGGAUCUUGAGCCACCUAGGGGCAAGUGGAACAAACGGUGGAGCGGUGAAAUGCGUAGAUAUCGUUUGGAACGCCAAUGGUGAAAACAACUUGCUGGGGGUGUGCUGACGCUGAGACACGAAAGCCAGGGGAGCAAACGGG
This 253-nucleotide ribosomal RNA is filed under the name uncultured bacterium. RNAcentral describes it as "partial 16S ribosomal RNA". It matches the Rfam family "Bacterial small subunit ribosomal RNA", at positions 524 to 776 of the family's 1533-position model. The record is from RNAcentral.